AUCAUAAUGGCAGAUAAAUGCGAAGAAUUUAAAUUUCUUUUAUACUUUUAGUUUUUGAUA
Molecule: transfer RNA, 60 nt
Filed under: Neoseiulus womersleyi
Lineage: Eukaryota; Metazoa; Arthropoda; Arachnida; Mesostigmata; Phytoseiidae
Description: tRNA-Leu
Source: RNAcentral